UUUAAGGUCUAACCUGCCCAAUGAGGAUUUAAAUGGCCGCAGUAUUUUGACUGUGCAAAGGUAGCAUAAUUAUUAGUUUUUUAAUUGAAAGCUUGUAUGAAGGGUUGGACGAGAUGAAAUCUGUCUUUAUUUAAAUUAAAAUAUAAUUUAACUUUUAAGUAAAAAGGCUUAAAUGUUUAUAAAAGACGAGAAGACCCUAUAGAUCUUUAUUUAAUUGAAAUUUUAAUAAUUUAGGAUUAUUUUAAUUUAAAGUUUUAAUUAAAUUUUAUUGGGGUAAUAUAAAGAUUAAAUAAAUUCUUUUUAUUUAUGACAUUGAUUUAUGAAUAUAUGAUCCAUUAAUAUUGAUUAUAAGAUUAAGUUACCUUAGGGAUAACAGCGUAAUUUUUUUGGAGAGCUCAUAUCGAUAAAAAAGUUUGCGACCUCGAUGUUGGAUUAAAAAUUAGCUUGGGUGCAGAAGCUCAAGAUUUUGGUCUGUUCGACCAUUAAAUUUUUACAUGAUCUGAGUUCAGACCGGCGUGAGCCAGGUCGGUUUCUAUCUUUAUUAAGAUAAAAUGUUUUAGUACGAAAGGACCAAAUAUUUAAUAUGAUUAUAUUUAUUUUUUGAAGAAUAUU
This 612-nucleotide ribosomal RNA is filed under the name Cicindela (Rivacindela) sp. JP-289. RNAcentral describes it as "partial 16S ribosomal RNA". It matches the Rfam family "Bacterial large subunit ribosomal RNA", at positions 1844 to 2739 of the family's 2925-position model. Lineage: Eukaryota; Metazoa; Arthropoda; Insecta; Coleoptera; Carabidae. The record is from RNAcentral.